GGGUUGCGCUGCUGAGACGCUGCGCGGCGGAGGAUCCGACGAACAAAGAUUUUCGCCGAGCUCCUCACCUGCCAGGACCCAGUGAUGACGCUGAAGAUGCACCGCAUGCCGGAGCCGGGUUGCGCUGCUGAGACGCUGCGCGGCUGAGGAUCCGACGAACAAAGAUUUUCGCCAAGCUCCUCACCUGCCAGGACCCAGUGAUGACGCUGAAGAUGCACCACAUGCCGUGAGUAGUUCCACUUUUAAGUCUUCGGCGCACGAGAGAUGAGCAUAGUUCCAUGACAAUGUAGCCCGUUUUUUUAAAUACCCUAAAACUGCUUCGGCAGUCAAGGGCAAAGGUGAGCCUUUUCAAAAUGUGCCCACUUUACACUGACCGCCGUUGUGCCCAUAAGGCCCUCUGGUUUAGGUCGCUCCAUGGUGCUGCCAUUAGAUUUGCAUGGGCCGCAGCUCGCCCAGGGUCUCAUCCCAGAGUUAGAAGCAGGGCCUGCACUGGAUAAACAGGAAUGGCCUUGCUUUUGAAACGCAGUUGGCAGUUGGCGAUGGAGCUCGCCCAGGGUCUCAUCUUAGAGUUAGAAGCAGGGCCUGCACUGGAUAAACAGGAAUGGCCUUGGUUUUGAAACGGAGUAGGCAGUUGGGGAUGGAGGACGUGCGCGGGCCACAGCUCGCCCAGGGUCUCAUCCUAGAGUUAGAAGCAGGGCCUGCACUGGAUAAACAGGAAUGGCCCUGCUUCUGAAAGGCAGAAGCGUGUAAUUGUAAGAACCUUUUUUACAGCACCGACGCUUUCACUCAUACUGUGGUGAAGCGGCAUGGGUUUUUAUUAGAGAUAGUUAUUCUUUGUCUAAGAGGCACACGAAAAUAAUGGCCAUUAGGCCUUACUCUUUCUUUUAAAAAUGAAUGGCUUACACAUUUAAUGGCAGGGUGGUUGGUUGGUCGGGCCAUACAUGUCUUUGGAAUUUUGCCCAUCUCUGGACAUACCACUGCGUCGUGGUGUCGAAGCAUCGACACCAUGACGCAGCGCCUUGUUUCUUUCACAGGGAGCCGGGUUGCGCUGCUGAGACGCUGCGCGGCGGAGGAUCCGACGAACAAAGAUUUUCGCCGAGCUCCUCACCUGCCAGGACCCAGUGAUGACGCUGAAGAUGCACCGCAUGCCGGAGCCGGGUUGCGCUGCUGAGACGCUGCGCGGCGGAGGAUCCGACGAACAAAGAUUUUCGCCGAGCUCCUCACCUGCCAGGACCCAGUGAUGACGCUGAAGAUGCACCGCAUGCCGGAGCCGGGUUGCGCUGCUGAGACGCUGCGCGGCGGAGGAUCCGACGAACAAAGAUUUUCGCCGAGCUCCUCACCUGCCAGGACCCAGUGAUGACGCUGAAGAUGCACCGC
Molecule: long non-coding RNA, 1377 nt
Organism: Paramisgurnus dabryanus
Lineage: Eukaryota; Metazoa; Chordata; Actinopteri; Cypriniformes; Cobitidae
Source: RefSeq, a predicted model, not a curated record